CACUAGACCAAAUCGCAAAUAGUGUGACGAUAUGGAAUCAGAAGAAAAUUUGUGCCUAAUUGUGCCAUAUAACAUGUUUAUCAUGAUUUAUGUGUAGACAAAAUACAGUAAAUGACUCAAAUAUAUCUAUUGCAUUCAAAUAUUUAUUGUAUAUAAAUAUAAAACAUACCAAAAAGAAAAGAAAAGUAGUAUACAUUUUCUGUUUUCAUAUGAGUUUCAAUAGUUUGUGUUCAAGUUAUGGCAUUAAGAGAUUAAUUUUGCUGCAAUAAUUUCACAUUUGAGGUUUUGUCCAGUAAACUGAUUGAGUCAUUCGAUUCAAAUUCAGAAUGUCUUUUGGGAAAUAUUUCUCCCCUAAAGUUUGGUGCUUUGGACAUGAGAGAAAGUUUAGCUCUGACUCAAGGUGCCCACUGUUACACUCAGAGCUGGCUUUGAAGCCAGCUCUGUCAAUGACAGUCCUUGGUACUUAUAUAUUUACUUUAAUAUACUUUAAUGUACUUUAAUAUUUUUUAUAUCAGGGGGUUCAGCUAAGCGGUUUGAUGUUUUGGUUCCUUCAGGUUGUUCUCACAGAACAACCUUUUUUACCUAUUUGUCAAUUUAAUUUAUUAGUUUUGGUCCCCAUAUUUUUACUGUCAUAUAGUUUUGUAGCCAGAUUUUAAUUAUAAUUUAGAUUCAAAAUUUUCUUUAUCUUAUGUCUGUCUGUGUGUUAGCUAAAGGAUUAACUCCAGCGCGACUCCCACUUCAUAACUGAAAUGAAGACCCGGUGGGGGGACUUAAAUGCAAAGGCUCAGUUUUAUGGAGUGUUCAAAAAAAUCAUGAGGCCUCCACUGCUGGACAAGGUGAAUGACUCGACAUCAUUGCAAAUGAGGGUCACCCCUCAUUUGAUCUCUCGAGUAUAAAAAAGGUUAAAUUAAUACCGACUGAUAAUGGAUAAUUCCAUAAAAGCAUUAAUGUUUGUUUAAUAACUGGCUGCAGGAAAACAAUGAGACUAUUUUUGUUUAUAACAGUAAAGCAGUCACUCACCAUGCUGAAGGCUUUGCCAGACAUGUUCCCAUCACCUGUGGUUCCACCUAAGAGGUUAGGACAUGCUAGUGAGGCUAUGCUUCACGUCCUUGAGUCUACAGAAGACCCCAGCACCUUUCCUCAGGCCAGACCGCUCUCCAGCCCUGUCGUCGUUGUCUGCGAAACAAACUGCAUCCUGGCCAUUGGAACAAUGGCUGUUCUAAUCUUCGCAAAAGAGGACAUCUAUGACUGA
This 1252-nucleotide long non-coding RNA is filed under the name Gadus morhua (Atlantic cod). RNAcentral describes it as "lncRNA (ENSGMOG00000022781.1)". The record is from RNAcentral. Lineage: Eukaryota; Metazoa; Chordata; Actinopteri; Gadiformes; Gadidae.